Molecule: long non-coding RNA, 1216 nt
Filed under: Brassica rapa (field mustard)
Lineage: Eukaryota; Viridiplantae; Streptophyta; Magnoliopsida; Brassicales; Brassicaceae
Description: long non-coding RNA (BRAP_LNC002434)
Source: RNAcentral
GAAGAAUGUAUGCCACGUGGCAAAAAAUGCCCCAUGCAUAUUGAUGAUGUGGCUUAAUAAGGAGAGACCCAAGUCUCCUUUAUUAUAUAAGAUAUUAUAUGUUGGAAACAAAGAGAGAGAAAGAGUGUGAUUGGAUGAGAAGUGAGUGGAGAGGUGUGUGAUAACACGUAAGAGAGAGAUGAGAGCUUUAUUAUUUUCUGUAUUAUUUUCUUCUUACUUCAGUCAUACAAAUAAGAAAGAGAAUGAGCUAUUUAUAACCCAUCAAAGUCGGUUUAAUUUACCGACUCAAAAGAAAAAUAUAAAAAAUCAACACUGACAUCUAGAUGAUGAUGCAACAAGACAUUUGAUAGGGAGGGGACCAGUGUCCACUACGUGACAAUAUUUGGAUAAUCAUACGUAACAAUAACAUUACUAAUUAGUGUAAUCUAUUUUCCUCGAUUUAAAUUUCAAUUAAUGAUAAACUAAAAAUUACACAAAAGUGAUAUAACCAACGCCGACGAGAAAAGAACGAGACAAAAAAAGAAGAAGAAGAACAUUUCCUAGAAACUAAAGCAACCGGACAAAUUAAAAGUCCUAGAAAACCAUGAACAAAGCUAAGAACUUAACAAUAUAGAUCGUAUCACACGAGAUAGACUGGAAAUACGUUAAAUUAGGGGGGGGGGACACUGAGCGGAUAUCCGAAAUUUUAAGGAUACCCGUGAUCCACUCCGUUCCCUGCGAAUAAUUGAUUUUCGAUCCGAUUUGAUCCGUAACUUUUUGAAUAUCCGGUGUUCCGGAUAUCCGCAAAUAUCUAGAUUUUUGCCGGAUAUCCGAUUCGAUCCGUAAAAAAAAUAAAAAUUAAAAAAUAAAAGAAAAAGAAGAAAAUCUGCUAUAAAAUAAUAAUAUUUUCAUUACAAUAUUUUUUUAAAAAAAUUACAUACUUUUAAAAAAUGUAAUAACUAAAAAAUUAAUUUAUUGAAUAAAAACAUUAUAAAACUUAUGUGGAGAUAUAAAAGUAUAUAUAUUAUAUAACUUUAGAAACAUGUAUACAUAUAUAUGUAUAUAACAGAUCAGAUCGGAUAUCCGUUUUUAAAAAUAUUAGUAUUUGUGAUUUGCUUCGUCUUUGGCGGAUACUAAAUUUUGUUAUUUGCUUUGAUUCGUUAAGUUACAGAUAUCCGGAUUUUUUGGAUCAAAUCGAAACGAAUAACAGAUCAAAUCAAAAUUUAUGGAUAUUUUG